CUUCCAUCUGGAAGAAUCUGGAGACAGGUGCUGCAUGGCUGUCGUCAGCUCGUGUCGUGAGAUGUUGGGUUAAGUCCCGCAACGAGCGCAACCCUUGCCUUUAGUUGCCAGCAGUUCGGCUGGGCACUCUAAAGGGACUGCCGGUGUUAAACCGGAGGAAGGUGGGGGAUGACGUCAAGUCCUCAUGGCCUUUAUGACCAGGGCUACACACGUACUACAAUGGCCGAUACAAAGGGCAGCGACACUGCGAGGUGAAGCCAAUCCCGUAAAAUCGGUCUCAGUCCGGAUUGGAGUCUGCAACUCGACUCCAUGAAGUUGGAAUCGCUAGUAAUCGUGGAUCAGCAUGCCACGGUGAAUACGUUCCCGGGCCUU
RNAcentral lists this ribosomal RNA (372 nucleotides) under uncultured Desulfobulbus sp. RNAcentral's name for it is "bacterial SSU rRNA". It matches the Rfam family "Bacterial small subunit ribosomal RNA", at positions 1014 to 1382 of the family's 1533-position model. Lineage: Bacteria; Pseudomonadati; Thermodesulfobacteriota; Desulfobulbia; Desulfobulbales; Desulfobulbaceae. The record is from RNAcentral.